GCUCGCAAGAGUGAACGAGCUAACUGAAAGAAUAAGAAUCUAACGUAAGGUCACCUAUAUACUACUUACUAUCCUAUCUUUUCUUUAUAUUAUGAAAUUAUUUUAAAUUCUGGCAAUGUUAGUUGUUAUUGUAUUUUCUUUAUAAUCAAAUAGGUAUAUAGUAUAGAUAUAUGUAGGAAUAAUGAUAUACCCUUACUAAUAGUGUCGUCCAAAAUCCGGUGCCAGCAGACUCGGUAACACCAGAGACGCGAACGUUAAUCAUCUUGAAUGGGCAUAAAGGGUUUGUAGGCAACUUUAAUUUAUUAAAGAUAGAAUCUAAAAGAGGUUUAUAGAAUGCUUAGUGUAGGGCUCAAAUCCGCAAAUCCUAAGUGGACUACUAGAGGCGAAGGCGGUACUCCUUGAAAGAUUGACGCUGAUAAACGAGGGUUGGGAUAGGAAAUAGGAUCAGAGACCCUAGUACCCCCAACUGUAAACGAUGAAUGGAAGAUAUUUACAAGGUAAGUAAGUAUCGAAGUGAACUACGAUAACCAUUCCGCCUUGCAAGUAUACUUGCAAAAGUGAAAGCAAAAAAAUUAGUCGGUCCUAAAGCAAACG
RNAcentral lists this ribosomal RNA (594 nucleotides) under Sistotrema confluens. Its description in RNAcentral is "SSU rRNA". The stretch from base 86 to 594 matches the Rfam family "Bacterial small subunit ribosomal RNA", at positions 1 to 931 of the family's 1533-position model. Lineage: Eukaryota; Fungi; Basidiomycota; Agaricomycetes; Cantharellales; Hydnaceae. The record is from RNAcentral.